This 541-nucleotide ribosomal RNA is filed under the name uncultured archaeon. Its description in RNAcentral is "bacterial SSU rRNA". It matches the Rfam family "Archaeal small subunit ribosomal RNA", at positions 99 to 641 of the family's 1478-position model. The record is from RNAcentral.
CGUGGACAACCUACCCUUAGGUCGGGGAUAAACCCGGGAAACUGGGUAUAAUACCCGAUAGUCCUCGAAUGCUGGAAUGCAUCGAGGUCUAAAGCUCCGGCGCCUAAGGAUGGGUCUGCGGCCUAUCAGGUAGUAGUGGGUGUAGCGUACCUACUAGCCUACGACGGGUACGGGUUGUGAGAGCAAGAGCCCGGAGAUGGAUUCUGAGACACGAAUCCAGGCCCUACGGGGUGCAGCAGGCGCGAAAACUUUACAAUGCUGGCAACAGCGAUAAGGGGACCUCGAGUGCCAGGUUACAAAUCUGGCUGUCGUGAUGCCUAAAAAGCAUUGCAUAGCAAGGGCCGGGCAAGACCGGUGCCAGCCGCCGCGGUAACACCGACGGCUCGAGUGGUAACCGUUAUUAUUGGGUCUAAAGGGUCUGUAGCCGGCCGGAUAAGUCUCUUGGGAAAUCUGGCAGCUUAACUGUCAGGCUUUCAGGAGAUACUGUCUGGCUCGAGGCCGGGAGAGGUGAGAGGUACUUCAGGGGUAGGGGUGAAAUCUU